UAAUAAAAGUUAAGGCCCAAACUUUAAAAAUCCGUAUCCCUAUUUGUCAAUUCUAGCUUCCAAAAACAACAGUUUCCAAAAAGAAAAAAAAACACUUUCCUCUGUUGUCCGUUCAUCUACUAGAUCCUCCAUGAAAGAAUCACCCUUAGUCCGGUUCCCUUAAACUUCUCUUCUCCAAUACCCUUCGGACAAACUCAAGCAACCCUCUUUCAAGGCACGAGCUUCCGCUGCAAAGAGUGUUGGAACCCUUCUAUGUAUUACUACUUUUGAGGCCAGAACUUCACCUAGAGCAUUCUUAGCCAUCACCCCUGAUCCCGACCUAGCUUGGUUCAAAUCAAAUGCUGCAUCGAAGUUAAUCUUCACAUGUGCACCGAUUGGGGUCUUCCAUCUCAUCGGAGCAUUAGAUCUAAUUGCCCACAUGCCAUAAUAGAACACCCUGCACUACUCCUUGGUACUAUUUUUGGAAAUCUAGGUAAACUAUUCCCAAUAAUGCUGAAUCAGAUUUUGUACAAUCCAGGAGAGAUUUAUACCUUUGUUGUUGUAGGACAUUCUCUGAAGAUAUGAUCAAUUGAUUUCAUAGCUUCACGACACCUAGGACACACAAUAUCUGUUGCUACUCUUUUUUUAUUCAGAUUGAGUAAAGUAGGAAUAAAAUUCCAUGAUAUGCGCCAAACUGUAAUUUUAAUUUUUAAGGGGAUUUGUAAAUUCCAUAGUCUUUUGUAGAGUUCUCUAACGCUCUGUUGUGUAUAAUCAUCAUUAGGAAAUAAUGUACCUUCUUGUAAUAGUUUAUAAAUUGUAAUAACCCGUUUUUAGUGAAAUCGGAACAGUAGUUUCGGCACCACAAA
Molecule: long non-coding RNA, 845 nt
Organism: Gossypium arboreum
Lineage: Eukaryota; Viridiplantae; Streptophyta; Magnoliopsida; Malvales; Malvaceae
Exons: 3
Source: RefSeq, a predicted model, not a curated record